GGGGUUGUGGCUCAGUGGUAGAGCGCCUGCCUCCCAUACACGAGGCCCUAGGUUCAAUCCUCAGCACCA
Non-coding RNA from Ictidomys tridecemlineatus (thirteen-lined ground squirrel), 69 nucleotides. The record is from Rfam. Lineage: Eukaryota; Metazoa; Chordata; Mammalia; Rodentia; Sciuridae.